CUGUGCCAGAGGUCACUAACGCCUGUACAAGUGUUAUAGUUGCUUGUUCAGGCCAUUUUACUCCCUGGAAAGUCUAAGGCCUUUCACACGAGUGACAGAUUACGUCCGGAUGCGUU
This is a long non-coding RNA of Bufo bufo (common toad), 116 nucleotides long. RefSeq lists it as uncharacterized. The transcript has 3 exons. NCBI's taxonomy places the organism in Eukaryota, Metazoa, Chordata, Amphibia, Anura, Bufonidae. The record is from RefSeq and is a predicted model, not a curated record.